UUUAUUGGAGAGUUUGAUCCUGGCUCAGGAUGAACGCUGGCGGCGUGCCUAAUACAUGCAAGUCGAGCGAAUGGAUUAAGAGCUUGCUCUUAUGAAGUUAGCGGCGGACGGGUGAGUAACACGUGGGUAACCUGCCCAUAAGACUGGGAUAACUCCGGGAAACCGGGGCUAAUACCGGAUAACAUUUUGAACCGCAUGGUUCGGAAUUGAAAGGCGGCUUCGGCUGUCACUUAUGGAUGGACCCGCGUCGCAUUAGCUAGUUGGUGAGGUAACGGCUCACC
This 281-nucleotide ribosomal RNA is filed under the name Bacillus thuringiensis. Its description in RNAcentral is "partial 16S ribosomal RNA". It matches the Rfam family "Bacterial small subunit ribosomal RNA", at positions 1 to 269 of the family's 1533-position model. The record is from RNAcentral. Lineage: Bacteria; Bacillati; Bacillota; Bacilli; Caryophanales; Bacillaceae.